RNAcentral lists this ribosomal RNA (484 nucleotides) under uncultured bacterium. RNAcentral's name for it is "partial 16S ribosomal RNA". It matches the Rfam family "Bacterial small subunit ribosomal RNA", at positions 30 to 507 of the family's 1533-position model. The record is from RNAcentral.
AUUGAACGCUGGCGGCAUGCUUUACACAUGCAAGUCGAACGGCAGCACGGGCUUCGGCCUGGUGGCGAGUGGCGAACGGGUGAGUAAUAUAUCGGAACGUACCCAGAAGUGGGGGAUAACGUAGCGAAAGUUACGCUAAUACCGCAUACGAUCUAUGGAUGAAAGCAGGGGACCGCAAGGCCUUGUGCUCCUGGAGCGGCCGAUAUCUGAUUAGCUAGUUGGUGAGGUAAAGGCUCACCAAGGCGACGAUCAGUAGCUGGUCUGAGAGGACGACCAGCCACACUGGAACCGAGACACGGUCCAGACUCCUACGGGAGGCAGCAGUGGGGAAUUUUGGACAAUGGGCGCAAGCCUGAUCCAGCAAUGCCGCGUGAGUGAAGAAGGCCUUCGGGUUGUAAAGCUCUUUUGUCAGGGAAGAAACGGUAGAGGCUAAUAUCCUUUGCUAAUGACGGUACCUGAAGAAUAAGCACCGGCUAACUACGUG